Molecule: ribosomal RNA, 255 nt
Filed under: uncultured bacterium
Lineage: Bacteria
Description: partial 16S ribosomal RNA
Rfam family: Bacterial small subunit ribosomal RNA
Source: RNAcentral
UACGUAGGCAGCAAGCGUUGUUCGGAGUUACUGGGCGUAAAGGGUGUGUAGGCGGUUCUUUAAGUUUGGUGUGAAAUCUCCCGGCUCAACUGGGAGGGUGCGCCGAAUACUGAGGGACUAGAGUACGGGAGAGGAAAGUGGAAUUCCUGGUGUAGCGGUGAAAUGCGUAGAUAUCAGGAGGAACACCGGUGGUGUAGACGGCUUUCUGGACCGUAACUGACGCUGGAGACACGGAAAGCGUGGGUAGCAAACAGG